RNAcentral lists this long non-coding RNA (410 nucleotides) under Sander lucioperca (pikeperch). RNAcentral describes it as "lncRNA (ENSSLUG00000026017.1)". The record is from RNAcentral. Lineage: Eukaryota; Metazoa; Chordata; Actinopteri; Perciformes; Percidae.
GCACCGGACUCUUGAACCAGCAACCAGCAGCCCCGGCACUGCAGUUUGUGUGUGAGAGUGUACUACAGGGCUGGUGUAGACAGGCUCAGUGGAUGGACGAGGCUCUGGAGGAGCUGAGGGGCUGCCUGGGGACACAGCUACAGCGACUCAGCCUCCAGGCCAGGGGCCGAGCUUUGGGUCACUUUCUGUGCGAGAAAAUCUGCCUUGAGGAGCUUUGUGUGUCCGAAGAUCUGAAUGCGGCUCUGACUGAGGGACUUACUGCUCUCACAAGACAGGGAGAGGUGGAGAGAACUGUAAAGACCAGACCUCUGGAGUUUCUUGCCAUUUUCCUGACAAAAUGGACGAAGGAGGGAGAAGAGUGUAGUGGAGGGGAAAAGUGGAUAAACGAAGGAGCAGAUGAUUUCUCCUCA